AAAAACCGAAUUGAACAUCGAACCGAAAUCCGAAAAAAAAAAAAAAAAACUGAAAAAAAAUGGAACCAAAUGAAAAUUUGAGUUGGUUGGUUUGAUUUUAUAACCCUAAUACGACGGGCGUUUUUGUCUACUUAUAAGUUAUAACCCUACUCUGCUUUUUUCCUGGGUUUUCUUCCGCGCCAUCUCACUCUCAUCGACUCACUCAUGCCUCAACUCAGUCACCCCCGCGAGCUUCCUCUGGACGUCGACCUCGCCCACCUCGCAGCGACGCUGUCUCUUCUUGGCGUGGACCGCAACCACCUAGCUGUCACCCCCGCGAACUUCCUCUCGCUGUCUUGACAGCCCACCUCGCCCGGCGAAUCGCCCAGCUUGAUUCGCCGAGGUAUGAUUCUGGAAUGGCAAGAUAGAGCCUCUGCUCAAGUUGCUCAAGUUCUGAUGCUAGGAUAGAGCUACAAACAAAUCCAUCCGGCGACGCUGCGUUUUUUCUGUUACUCCACCGUGAGAACAGUCAAAGAAUGAACUCAUAUGUAUGUUGAUCUUCUUUGUUUUCUCUGCUUCUGCUAGCUUUAUAUGUGUCUGCAUCUCCAAAUAGUUAUUCCAUGUUUCUUAUUUUUAUAGGAAGAAAAUCAUUGAAUACAAGGAAAAUUAAAAAGGUUUUGGUCUUUGGAAUGGUUUAAAAUGUUUGUUGUUGAUGGUUCUAAUGUUAUUAAAUAUUUUGAUGCGUAGUUUUAUAAGAAUAAAUGUUUGUUGUU
Malus domestica (apple) is the source of this 752-nucleotide long non-coding RNA. RefSeq lists it as uncharacterized. The record is from RefSeq and is a predicted model, not a curated record. NCBI's taxonomy places the organism in Eukaryota, Viridiplantae, Streptophyta, Magnoliopsida, Rosales, Rosaceae.